RNAcentral lists this ribosomal RNA (496 nucleotides) under uncultured bacterium. Its description in RNAcentral is "partial 16S ribosomal RNA". It matches the Rfam family "Bacterial small subunit ribosomal RNA", at positions 28 to 507 of the family's 1533-position model. The record is from RNAcentral.
GAUGAACGCUGGCGGCGUGCCUAAUACAUGCAAGUCGAGCGAACAGACGAGGAGCUUGCUCCUCUGACGUUAGCGGCGGACGGGUGAGUAACACGUGGAUAACCUACCUAUAAGACUGGGAUAACUUCGGGAAACCGGAGCUAAUACCGGAUAAUAUAUUGAACCGCAUGGUUCAAUAGUGAAAGACGGUUUUGCUGUCACUUAUAGAUGGAUCCGCGCCGCAUUAGCUAGUUGGUAAGGUAACGGCUUACCAAGGCAACGAUGCGUAGCCGACCUGAGAGGGUGUUCGGCCACACUGGAACUGAGACACGGUCCAGACUCCUACGGGAGGCAGCAGUAGGGAAUCUUCCGCAAUGGGCGAAAGCCUGACGGAGCAACGCCGCGUGAGUGAUGAAGGUCUUCGGAUCGUAAAACUCUGUUAUUAGGGAAGAACAAAUGUGUAAGUAACUAUGCACGUCUUGACGGUACCUAUCAGAAAGCCACGGCUAACUACGUG